Molecule: ribosomal RNA, 433 nt
Filed under: uncultured bacterium
Lineage: Bacteria
Description: partial 16S ribosomal RNA
Rfam family: Bacterial small subunit ribosomal RNA
Source: RNAcentral
AACGAACGCUGGCGGCAUGCCUAACCCAUGCAAGUCGAACGAUGCCUUCGGGCAUAGUGGCGCACGGGUGCGUAACGCGUGGGAAUCUGCCUUUCGGUUCGGAAUAACUCAGGGAAACUUGAGCUAAUACCGGAUAACGUCGCAAGACCAAAGAUUUAUCACCGAAAGAUGAGCCCGCGUAGGAUUAGCUAGUUGGUGAGGUAAAGGCUCACCAAGGCGACGAUCCUUAGCUGGUCUGAGAGGAUGAUCAGCCACACUGGGACUGAGACACGGCCCAGACUCCUACGGGAGGCAGCAGUGGGGAAUAUUGGACAAUGGGCGAAAGCCUGAUCCAGCAAUGCCGCGUGAGUGAUGAAGGCCUUAGGGUUGUAAAGCUCUUUUACCCGGGAAGAUAAUGACGGUACCGGGAGAAUAAGCCCCGGCUAACUCCGUG